GCACUGUGCCGCUUCUCUCUCUCGCUCUAAAUGAUGGUGGUGUGAGAGAGGCCCAAUGUGCCGAUGCAGAUGAAUAUGAUUAUACUUUCCAGAUUCUCCGAAGGAAGUUUCAGGUGAUUGGCGUACGAUUUUUCCUUCAGGAAUCUGGCUAAAUCUCUCUCUCUCUCUCUCUCUCUCUCUCUCUCUCUGAAUGACGAGGGUGAUCUCCAGCCAGUUCAUAGACAGCAGGCGGAGGUGGGGACUGGCGCGCCGCAGGGUGAGUUGACCUGGUUGGGGAGUCGUCAUGGGUGAUGGAAGACGAGGCGGCUUCCAGCCCGGCGGCGACGACUUGGCAGCACUGGGUGAUACUGCAAGGAGACAAGAGACCGGCGACCCAGUUGCCGGAGCCCAGAAACUUCCAGUGCGGAGAAGGGAGAAUGUGAGAAACGCCAGGAGGAGCACCAUCCAGACGGAGGGGAGGGAACGAGGAAGAGAGAGAGAGAGAAGAGAGAGAGAGAGAGAGAGAGAGAGAGAGAGAGAGUANNNNNNNNNNNNNNNNNNNNGAGGGAGGGAGGAGGAGAGAGAGAGAGAGAGAGAGAGAGAGAGAGAGAGAGAGAGAGAGAGAGAGAGUAUCCACGACCUCCCAUUUUUCGGCGGCUGAUGAAGCCCAUGAAACGGUGAUCAAGGCAUGCAUACUAAUGAAGUAACCUAUCUACAUGACAACGAGACAGGUCUUACAUUAUCAUUUGUAGAACCAUUUCCCAAAAUAUUAUGUAAAUGUAUAAAAUCCUCAAUCUAAAUGAGUUAAUUACACUUUAGUUCAUUUUUAUGAUCAAUAUACACUUUUAUUCACAAGAAAUUACUUCUUUUUGUGUUUUAAUCAACCGUCUUUUCUUCUAUAAUCUACGUUUUGUCAUCAUCAUCAUCGUCUCUCUCUCUCUCUCUCUCUCUCUCUCGUCUAUACAGGCGCACACACCCAAGCGGACACAUUGUAAAGAUCCCCACUGUCCUACAUGUAAUCUGCUGAGCAGGAUGAAGAAACUGAGUCGCUGACUUCUCCGUUACCUUCCUUCUGGAAGUUGACUCAGUCCUUACGGUGCUGUUCAAGUCAGAGGCCCACGAAAAAGGUUUUUCUUCCUUUCCUUCAACAUUAUCUGCGUAUAAUCUGUAUGUUUCACUAUUGGAUUGCUCUAACGCAUGCUCUCUCGCGUAACUUUAUAUUUCUAUCCCCAAAAUGAGCUGCAAUCAUCGGAGCAUCAUAUGGAUAAUCAGAUUAAUUUAUCAAGAUAUUAAAGAACAGCCCCUGCGAUCAUGCAUUAUCGCCUCAUAGUCAGGACGCAAUCGGAGAUUCCCGUGUUAUUGCGAAGUUCGGAGGGAGAAAGAACUCAGAAAGCGUUCCACAGCUACAGGAACUUCUUCUUGAAGAAGAUAUGAAGCUCUUUCUCUGGCGUCGACCAGGGUCAGCUCGAGUUCAGCGGAGGGGGGAGGCAGACUGAGGACCCGUCGAGAGAGAGAGAGUUCUGCAGUGAUUCCGUGUUACGCCACGCCCCAUGCAGAGUGCGGAGUUAUUCCAAGCAGAGCCCUGAUUACAUCGUCAACCAACGCUCAAAACUAAGGACCUCUCUCUCAAGAUUACUUCAGGGAGAA
RNAcentral lists this long non-coding RNA (1626 nucleotides) under Spirodela polyrhiza (greater duckweed). RNAcentral's name for it is "long non-coding RNA (SPOL_LNC002278)". The record is from RNAcentral. Lineage: Eukaryota; Viridiplantae; Streptophyta; Magnoliopsida; Alismatales; Araceae.